AGGUAACGGCUCACCAAGACAUCGAUGCCUAGGGGGGCUGAGAGGGUGAUCCCCCCCACUGGUACUGAGACACGGACCAGACUCCUACGGGAGGCAGCAGUAAGGAAUAUUGGGCAAUGGACGAAAGUCUGACCCAGCCAUGCCGCGUGCAGGAUGACGGCCCUAGUGGUUGUAAACUGCUUUUAUACGGGAAAGAAAAGUUCCAACGUGUUGGAAUGUGACUGUACCGUAUGAAUAAGCAUCGGCUAACUCCGUGCCAGCAGCCGCGGUAAUACGGAGGAUGCAAGCGUUAUCCGGAUUCAUUGGGUUUAAAGGGUGCGUAGGCGGAUUGGUAAGUCAGUGGUGAAAUCCUCUCGCUUAACGGGAGAAUUGCCGUUGAUACUAUCAAUCUUGAGUACACUUGAAGUGGGCGGAAUGUGUCAUGUAGCGGUGAAAAUGCAUAGAUAUGACACAGAACACCGAUUGCGAAGGCAGCUCACUAAAUUGUAACUGACGCUGAGGCACGAAAGCGUGGGGAGCAAACAGGAUUAGAUACCCUGGUAGUCCACGCUGUAAACGAUGAUCACUAGCUGUUGGCGAUACACUGUCAGCGGCUGAGCGAAAGUAUUAAGUGAUCCACCUGGGGAGUACGAUCGCAAGGUUGAAACUCAAAGGAAUUGACGGGGGCCCGCACAAGCGGAGGAGCAUGUGGUUUAAUUCGAUGAUACGCGAGGAACCUCACCUAGGCUUAAAUGCUUUUUGACCGUCCUGGAAACAGGAUUUCCCUUCGGGGCAAAUUGCAAGGUGCUGCAUGGUUGUCGUCAGCUCGUGCCGUGAGGUGUCGGGUUAAGUCCCAUAACGAGCGCAACCCCUAUUCUUAGUUGCCAUCAGGUAAUGCUGGGAACUCUAAGGAAACUGCCUACGCAAGUAGUGAGGAAGGUGGGGAUGACGUCAAAUCAGCACGGCCCUUACGCCUAGGGCUACACACGUGCUACAAUGGCCAGCAUAGUGGGUUGCUACCUGGUAACAGGAUGCUAAUCUCUAAAUCUGGUCUCAGUUCGGAUUGAAGUCUGCAACUCGACUUCAUGAAGUUGGAUUCGCUAGUAAUCGCGCAUCAGCAAUGGCGCGGUGAUACGUUCCCGGGCCUUGACACACCGCCCGUCAAGCCAUGGAAGCUGGGAGUGCCUGAAGUCUGUAACCGCAAGG
RNAcentral lists this ribosomal RNA (1185 nucleotides) under uncultured organism. RNAcentral describes it as "bacterial SSU rRNA". It matches the Rfam family "Bacterial small subunit ribosomal RNA", at positions 255 to 1446 of the family's 1533-position model. The record is from RNAcentral.